UACGGAGGGUGCAAACGUUGCUCGGAAUCAUUGGGCGUAAAGCGCACGUAGGCGGCUUCUUAAGUCGGGUGUGAAAGCCCUCGGCUCAACCGAGGAAGUGCAUUCGAAACUGAGGGGCUUGAAUACUGGAGAGGAUGGCGGAAUUCCCGGUGUAGAGGUGAAAUUCGUAGAUAUCGGGAGGAACACCAGCGGCGAAGGCGGCCAUCUGGACAGAUAUUGACGCUGAGGUGCGAAAGCGUGGGGAGCAAACAGG
This 253-nucleotide ribosomal RNA is filed under the name uncultured bacterium. Its description in RNAcentral is "partial 16S ribosomal RNA". It matches the Rfam family "Bacterial small subunit ribosomal RNA", at positions 524 to 776 of the family's 1533-position model. The record is from RNAcentral.